UAGGAUGAGACUAUAUAGUAUCAGCUAGUUGGUAAGGUAAUGGCUUACCAAGGCUAUGACGCUUAACUGGUCUGAGAGGAUGAUCAGUCACACUGGAACUGAGACACGGUCCAGACUCCUACGGGAGGCAGCAGUAGGGAAUAUUGCGCAAUGGGGGAAACCCUGACGCAGCAACGCCGCGUGGAGGAUGACACUUUUCGGAGCGUAAACUCCUUUUCUUAGGGAAGAAUUCUGACGGUACCUAAGGAAUAAGCACCGGCUAACUCCGUGCCAGCAGCCGCGGUAAUACGGAGGGUGCAAGCGUUACUCGGAAUCACUGGGCGUAAAGGGCGCGUAGGCGGAUUAUCAAGUCUCUUGUGAAAUCUAAUGGCUUAACCAUUAAACUGCUUGGGAAACUGAUAGUCUAGAGUGAGGGAGAGGCAGAUGGAAUUGGUGGUGUAGGGGUAAAAUCCGUAGAUAUCACCAAGAAUACCCAUUGCGAAGGCGAUCUGCUGGAACUCAACUGACGCUAAGGCGCGAAAGCGUGGGGAGCAAACAGGAUUAGAUACCCUGGUAGUCCACGCCCUAAACGAUGUACACUAGUUGUUGGGGUGCUAGUCAUCUCAGUAAUGCAGCUAACGCAUUAAGUGUACCGCCUGGGGAGUACGGUCGCAAGAUUAAAACUCAAAGGAAUAGACGGGGACCCGCACAAGCGGUGGAGCAUGUGGUUUAAUUCGAAGAUACGCGAAGAACCUUACCUGGGCUUGAUAUCCUAAGAACCUUAUAGAGAUAUGAGGGUGCUAGCUUGCUAGAACUUAGAGACAGGUGCUGCACGGCUGUCGUCAGCUCGUGUCGUGAGAUGUUGGGUUAAGUCCCGCAACGAGCGCAACCCACGUAUUUAGUUGCUAACGGUUCGGCCGAGCACUCUAAAUAGACUGCCUUCGUAAGGAGGAGGAAGGUGUGGACGACGUCAAGUCAUCAUGGCCCUUAUGCCCAGGGCGACACACGUGCUACAAUGGCAUAUACAAUGAGACGCAAUACCGCGAGGUGGAGCAAAUCUAUAAAAUAUGUCCCAGUUCGGAUUGUUCUCUGCAACUCGAGAGCAUGAAGCCGGAAUCGCUAGUAAUCGUAGAUCAGCCAUGCUACGGUGAAUACGUUCCCGGGUCUUGUACUCACCGCCCGUCACACCAUGGGAGUUGAUUUCACUCGAAGCCGGAAUACUAAACUAGUUACCGUCCACAGUGGAAUCAGCGACUGGGGUGAAGUCGUAACAAGGUAACCGUAGGAGAACCUGCGGUUGGAUCACCUCCUUU
This 1292-nucleotide ribosomal RNA is filed under the name Campylobacter jejuni. RNAcentral's name for it is "bacterial SSU rRNA". It matches the Rfam family "Bacterial small subunit ribosomal RNA", at positions 221 to 1533 of the family's 1533-position model. The record is from RNAcentral. Lineage: Bacteria; Pseudomonadati; Campylobacterota; Epsilonproteobacteria; Campylobacterales; Campylobacteraceae.